GAUGAACGCUGGCGGCGUGCUUAACACAUGCAAGUCGAACGAAGCACCUCUCCCGAAGAUUGACCCAGCUUGCUGUAGAUUGAUUCAUUUGAGGUGACUGAGUGGCGGACGGGUGAGUAACGCGUGGGUAACCUGCCUCAUAGAGGGGGACAACAGUUGGAAACGACUGCUAAUACCGCAUAGUAAGAAGAAUUCGCAUGUUUUCUUCUUGAAAGAUUUAUCGCUAUGAGAUGGACCCGCGUCUGAUUAGCUAGUUGGUAAGGUAACGGCUUACCAAGGCGGAGGACAGGAGGCGGGCUGGGAGGGGGGAACGGCAACAUUGGGAUUGGGCCACGGCCCAAAUCCCUACGGAGGGCGGCGUGGGGGAUAAUGGAACAUGGGGGGAAACCCGGUGGCGGCGAGGCGGGGGGAGUAAAAAGGUAUUUGGUAAGGUAAAGCUUUUUCGGCAGGAAGAUAAUGACGGUACCUGACUAAGAAGCCCCGGCUAACUACGUG
This 495-nucleotide ribosomal RNA is filed under the name uncultured bacterium. Its description in RNAcentral is "partial 16S ribosomal RNA". It matches the Rfam family "Bacterial small subunit ribosomal RNA", at positions 28 to 507 of the family's 1533-position model. The record is from RNAcentral.